UACCACUGUGUGUGUGUGUGUGUGUGUGUGUGUGUGUACACACACACACACACACACACACACACGUAUGUAUGUAUG
RNAcentral lists this microRNA precursor (78 nucleotides) under Podarcis lilfordi (Lilford's wall lizard). Lineage: Eukaryota; Metazoa; Chordata; Lepidosauria; Squamata; Lacertidae. The record is from RNAcentral.